This 712-nucleotide ribosomal RNA is filed under the name uncultured bacterium. RNAcentral's name for it is "bacterial SSU rRNA". It matches the Rfam family "Bacterial small subunit ribosomal RNA", at positions 669 to 1381 of the family's 1533-position model. The record is from RNAcentral.
CCAUGNGUAGCGGUGAAAUGCGUAGAUAUAUGGAGGAACACCAGUGGCGAAAGCGGCUCUCUGGUCUGUCACUGACGCUGAGGCUNGAAAGCGUGGGUAGCGAACAGGAUUAGAUACCCUGGUAGUNCACGCCGUAAACGAUGAGUGCUAGGUGUUAGGCCCUUUCCGGGGCUUAGUGCCGGAGCUAACGCAAUAAGCGCUCCGCCUGGGGAGUACGACCGCAAGGUUGAAACUCAAAGGAAUUGACGGGGGCCCGCACAAGCGGUGGAGCAUGUGGUUUAAUUCGAAGCAACGCGAAGAACCUUACCAGGUCUUGACAUCCCGAUGCUAUUCUUAGAGAUAGGAAGUUACUUCGGUACAUCGGAGACAGGUGGUGCAUGGUUGUCGUCAGCUCGUGUCGUGAGAUGUUGGGUUAANNNNNNNNNNGAGCGCAACCCUUAUUGUUAGUUGCCAUCAUUAAGUUGGGCACUCUAGCGAGACUGCCGGUAAUAAACCGGAGGAAGGUGGGGAUGACGUCAAAUCAUCAUGCCCCUUAUGACCUGGGCUACACACGUGCUACAAUGGUCGGUACAACGAGUUGCGAGCCGGUGACGGCAAGCUAAUCUCUGAAAGCCGAUCUCAGUUCGGAUUGGAGGCUGCAACUCGCCUCCAUGAAGUCGGAAUCGCUAGUAAUCGCGGAUCAGCACGCCGCGGUGAAUACGUUCCCGGGCCU